This is a non-coding RNA of Triticum aestivum (bread wheat), 134 nucleotides long. The record is from Rfam. Lineage: Eukaryota; Viridiplantae; Streptophyta; Magnoliopsida; Poales; Poaceae.
GUAGUACUCCCUCCGUCCGAAAAUACUUGUCAUCAAAAUGAAUAAGACGGGAUGUAUCUAGAUGUAUAUUAGUUCUAGAUACAUCUUUUUUAUCCAUUUUGGUGACAAGUAUUUUCGGACGGAGGGAGUACUUG